UCAGCUCUGGUCCCAGUGCAGGAGUAAAUGGGACAUCGACACGUAACUUCCCAUGAAAUCACUUACAGCCUCCUGGCCUGAGUAAACAGUGAUACAAAAUAACGUUUCUGCUUUAUUAGGAGGUGCAGUGAAGGUUUACGGAAUUGAUUCCUGGAAUGGUAGGACUGACGUAUGAACAGAGAGUGACUCGGCGAGGACUAUAUUCAGUAGAAUUUAGAAGAAUGAAUGGGCGUUUGGCUGAAUGUUUCUCACAGACACCGAUGUCAUAUGUGAGCAAGCUCGGUAAAAGUGUCAGAUUUAAGUGUAACCUAGACAGCGGGAGCACUGUAGUCCAUUGGUACCAGCACCGAGAGGGUCAGGCGCCCUCCAGAAUACUUUAUUAUGACAGCAAGGUCAAUCGGGAUUCGGGAUUCGGCAGCAGGUUUAAAGCGGAUAAGAAGAACACUGUGUGCACUUUGAUCAUCAAUGACAUCGUGAAGGAAGACGCUGCCACUUAUUACUGCGCCUAUUGGGACAGCACAGUGUUCAACAGAGAUAGAAAUGCUUAACAAAAACGCGGCGCUUCAGAUCGCUCCUCCCGCAGCCACCACACAAACAUCAACUCCUAUUUAUAAAGCGCCAUUAACAUACUAAAUCGUCCCACUGUGUCUCAAAGGCUACAUUGUUAAAAAAAAUUAAA
Molecule: non-coding RNA, 679 nt
Organism: Chiloscyllium plagiosum (whitespotted bambooshark)
Lineage: Eukaryota; Metazoa; Chordata; Chondrichthyes; Orectolobiformes; Hemiscylliidae
Source: the annotation of a RefSeq genome assembly